Homo sapiens (human) is the source of this 104-nucleotide small nuclear RNA. Lineage: Eukaryota; Metazoa; Chordata; Mammalia; Primates; Hominidae. The record is from Ensembl.
GUGCUCGCUUCAGCAGCACAUACACUAAAAUUGGAAAGAUACAGAGAUUAGCAUGGCCCCUGCGCAAAGAUGACAUGCAAAUUUGUGAAGCGUUCCAUAUUGUU